This 497-nucleotide ribosomal RNA is filed under the name uncultured bacterium. Its description in RNAcentral is "partial 16S ribosomal RNA". It matches the Rfam family "Bacterial small subunit ribosomal RNA", at positions 28 to 507 of the family's 1533-position model. The record is from RNAcentral.
GAUGAACGCUGGCGGCGUGCCUAAUACAUGCAAGUCGAGCGAACAGAUAAGGAGCUUGCUCCUUUGACGUUAGCGGCGGACGGGUGAGUAACACGUGGGUAACCUACCUAUAAGACUGGGAUAACUUCGGGAAACCGGAGCUAAUACCGGAUAACAUUUGGAACCGCAUGGUUCUAAAGUGAAAGAUGGUUUUGCUAUCACUUAUAGAUGGACCCGCGCCGUAUUAGCUAGUUGGUAAGGUAACGGCUUACCAAGGCAACGAUACGUAGCCGACCUGAGAGGGUGAUCGGCCACACUGGAACUGAGACACGGUCCAGACUCCUACGGGAGGCAGCAGUAGGGAAUCUUCCGCAAUGGGCGAAAGCCUGACGGAGCAACGCCGCGUGAGUGAUGAAGGGGUUCGGCUCGGAAAACUCUGUUAUUAGGGAAGAACAAACGUGUAAGUAACUGGGCACGUCUUGACGGUACCUAAUCAGAAAGCCACGGCUAACUACGUG